RNAcentral lists this transfer RNA (72 nucleotides) under Fomitiporia mediterranea MF3/22. RNAcentral describes it as "tRNA-Thr (AGT) (tRNA-Thr-AGT-1-1, tRNA-Thr-AGT-1-2)". It matches the Rfam family "tRNA". Rfam says of the family: Transfer RNA (tRNA) molecules are approximately 80 nucleotides in length. Their secondary structure includes four short double-helical elements and three loops (D, anti-codon, and T loops). Lineage: Eukaryota; Fungi; Basidiomycota; Agaricomycetes; Hymenochaetales; Hymenochaetaceae. The record is from RNAcentral.
UCCCGCUUAGCUCAGUGGUAGAGCGCAUCACUAGUAAUGAUGAGGUCAGUCGUUCAAGUCGGCUAGUGGGAA